CGACUCUGGUAUUGAUUGGUGCUUGCAUCAUGAUUUACAUUUGAGUGAGUGGCGAACUGGUGAGUAACACGUGGGAAACCUGCCCAGAAGCGGGGGAUAACACCUGGAAACAGAUGCUAAUACCGCAUAACAACUUGGACCGCAUGGUCCGAGCUUGAAAGAUGGCUUCGGCUAUCACUUUUGGAUGGUCCCGCGGCGUAUUAGCUAGAUGGUGGGGUAACGGCUCACCAUGGCAAUGAUACGUAGCCGACCUGAGAGGGUAAUCGGCCACAUUGGGACUGAGACACGGCCCAAACUCCUACGGGAGGCAGCAGUAGGGAAUCUUCCACAAUGGACGAAAGUCUGAUGGAGCAACGCCGCGUGAGUGAAGAAGGGUUUCGGCUCGUAAAACUCUGUUGUUAAAGAAGAACAUAUCUGAGAGUAACUGUUCAGGUAUUGACGGUAUUUAACCAGAAAGCCACGGCUAACUACGUGCCAGCAGCCGCGGUAAUACGUAGGUGGCAAGCGUUGUCCGGAUUUAUUGGGCGUAAAGCGAGCGCAGGCGGUUUUUUAAGUCUGAUGUG
RNAcentral lists this ribosomal RNA (563 nucleotides) under Lactiplantibacillus plantarum. RNAcentral describes it as "bacterial SSU rRNA". It matches the Rfam family "Bacterial small subunit ribosomal RNA", at positions 67 to 596 of the family's 1533-position model. The record is from RNAcentral. Lineage: Bacteria; Bacillati; Bacillota; Bacilli; Lactobacillales; Lactobacillaceae.